Panicum virgatum (switchgrass) is the source of this 2416-nucleotide long non-coding RNA. RefSeq lists it as uncharacterized. NCBI's taxonomy places the organism in Eukaryota, Viridiplantae, Streptophyta, Magnoliopsida, Poales, Poaceae. The transcript has 4 exons. The record is from RefSeq and is a predicted model, not a curated record.
CCUGGGGCCUUAUCCUUUCCUCUCGUUGGUCCCUGGACGGCUGACCACGAGCGCUCAUACCCGCUCGCGCGGCUUGCUCGGGGACUCCUCGUCUCUCUCGUCGCCGGCGACGCACGUCACCGGCGCCCUCCCCGGCGGCCAGCGAAAGAAGAGAAGGUGCCCUCCCAGGUCGAUCUGGUGGCAUGGACUGUGACCCAGAGGCUGUUCCUGCUACGUUUGAAAAUCGUGAAAAUAUGGCAGCAGAACCUGUGCUCCCUCAUAUUGAAUGGAACAAUAUGGCAGCAGAACCUAUUAUUAGUCCUCAAAAUGUUCCACCAGAACCUGUGCUCCCCCAAGUAGAUUGGAACAGUCUGCAGAUUACGGGGCAGUAUGAGGAAGAUAGGAUGGAAAUUGUAAGUGAAGAGCAGAUGUAUGUGCUGUUGGGUUUGAGGGAUGAAGAUGAGAGGGCACAGAAAAAAGAGGAGGACAAUGAGAUGGUGAGAGCAAUGCGCAGGACUGUACAAACUGAUGAUACUGCAGGUGCUGCAAUUCCUGUUAGUGAUAGCAUUCCAGAUGAAGUUGUGAUAGCCUAUGAUAAGGAUCAUCCAAGUAUGGAUCUUGGGACUAUGUACCCAUCAAUGGUUGAUUUUAGGCUGGCUGUGAGGCAAUUUGCAAUCAACAAUGAAUUUGCACUGGGCACAGAGAAGUCUGACAAGAAGAGGUUCAGGGGGGUUCUGCAAGUCUAGUGCAGACUGCCCUUGGAGGAUUGUUGGAACUCAGCAGGAUGAUAACAGAAGCAUCAAGGUGACAGUUUUAGUUGACGAGCAUAAUUGUGUCUCAAGCUGCAGGAUGAGGACCACUACACCAUCAAAGAAUUGGGUUGCAAGUAAGGCUGAAAGUAUCCUUAGAGUGACACCAGACAUGGGUGCUAAAGAGCUGCAAGAUAAGUUGGAACAACAAUAUCAUGUCACUCUUUUCUAUGAUACUGUAUGGAGGGGUAGAGAAUUAGCACUUGACAAGGUUUAUGGAAAAUGAUCUGAAAGUUUUGGGAUGUUUAGGUGGAAGGCUGAGGUACUAAAGAGAAUGCCUGGGAGUGUCGUUGAAAUUGAUACUUUUGAGGUAGAUGGUCAAGUGUAUUUUCAUCGUUUUUUCUGUGCCCUUAAGUCAUGUAUUGAUGGCUUCAAAGAAGGAUGUAGACCAUACUUGAGUAUAGAUUCCAGUGCAUUGAAUGGAAGGUGGAAUGGACAUUUAGCUUCAGCUAUAGCAGUAGAUGGGCACACUUGGAUGUACCCAAUGGCUUUUGGAUUCAUAGCUUCAGAGACAGAAGAUAAUUGGACUUGGUUCAUGAGACAAUUAAAGCAGGCAAUUGGAGAGCCACCGCUUCUUGCUAUCUGCACAGAUGCUUGCAAAGGACUGGAAAACUCUGUGCAAAAAGUAUUCCCUACAGCUGAACAGAGGGAGUGUUUCUUCCACCUGAUGAAGAAUUUUCAGAAGAGGUUUCAAGGAUUUGGUAGGAUUUAUCCAGCAGCAAGAGCUUACAGAGAGGAUAUGUUUACAGAACACAUGGCAGCAAUUUUCAGUGAGCCAGAUGAAAUAUGGAAGUGGAUGACACAGUACCACCCUCUCUUGUGGUACAGAACUACAGAUGUGGUUUCAACCCAGAAAUCAAGUGUGACUUCAUAACCAACAAUUUAGCCGAGGUGUUCAAUAAUUGGAUUAGAGGUAUCAAGGACUUGCCAGUUGCUGAACUAGCUGACAAGGUGAGGGAGAUGAUAAUAGUUCUAUGGAGAAAGAGGAGGAGGAUUGCAGAAAGGCUGCCAACAGGCAAGAUUCUACCUGCUGUAAUGGUUCAGCUGAAAGCAAACACUAGAGGUUUGGCUCAUUUGAAGGUUGUCAAGUCUGGUAGUUGGAGUGCAGAGGUCUGGGACUACAGCAAGGGUGGUGAAAGACAGAGUGAAGCUCAAUGAAAAGACUUGUACUUGUCAAGAGUGGCAGCACAUUGGAAAACCCUGUCAACAAGCUUUGGCAUUCCUAACAACACAAAAGAAUGUUGAUCUUGAGCAGUUUGUGCAUCAUUAUUUCUCAGUGGAAAAGUUCCAAGCUGCAUAUGGUAGGGAGAUUGAGCCACUGGCAGACAAGUCACAAUGGCCUCGUGUGCGUCUCCCUUUCUCUGUGUGCGCCCCACUUACCAAGAAGAAUGUGGGGAGGCAAAGAAAACUAAGGUUCAAAUCAUGCCUUGAAAGAGGUCACAGGAAGAAAGGUGACAAUCAUGACACCAAUUCAGCUCCCACAAAUGGUGAUGGGAACCCUGACAACUCAGCUCUCACAAACUCUAAAGGGAAGAAGAUGAUUAGAGGCCCUGUCAUUUGCAAGAGAUGUGGAGAGAAGGGCCACAGACAAGCUAGCUCCAAAUGCCCACUCAAUGGAACUAAGAAAA